UGCAACAUCUCUUUCUAGUUCAUCAACAUUGGGAACUGCAACUGCCUCACAGGACUAUAGUAGCUAUGCAUCGUACUCAAAUCCUACAGAUCCAUAUGGUUAUGCAAGCACAGGAUAUCCAGGUUACUAUAAUGGCUAUCAACAACAACCUAACCAUUCAUACUCUCAGCAGCAACCUAACCAUUCAUACUCUCAGCCUGUAGGAGCAUAUCAAAACACAGGUGCUCCUUAUCAGCCUCUUUCCUCAUUUCAGAAUACAGGGUCUUAUGCUGGGACUCCAAGUUAUCCAGCCACUUAUUACAAUCCUGGUGAUUAUCAGACAGCU
RNAcentral lists this long non-coding RNA (325 nucleotides) under Manihot esculenta (cassava). RNAcentral's name for it is "long non-coding RNA (MESC_LNC005807)". Lineage: Eukaryota; Viridiplantae; Streptophyta; Magnoliopsida; Malpighiales; Euphorbiaceae. The record is from RNAcentral.